RNAcentral lists this long non-coding RNA (1110 nucleotides) under Vigna radiata. RNAcentral describes it as "long non-coding RNA (VRAD_LNC005232)". The record is from RNAcentral. Lineage: Eukaryota; Viridiplantae; Streptophyta; Magnoliopsida; Fabales; Fabaceae.
GUGAGAAAGCUAGAAAGUCGUGUCCACCAGGUCAGUCUCUUUCUAUCUAUUGUUGAAUUUUAUUUCCAACAUCAUCUAGCUCACAUCUUAUCAAUAAUUUUUAUAUGGCAAGGCAACAAUAUAAGCCAAGCAACAACAUUGUCAUACAAGAAUCAUUUUACAGAUCAAACAUUGUAAGUAUUCACACAUAGAUUAGCUCCCCUACAUACAAUCUCUUUUAACACAGUACAUAUAUAAUAGAUCAAACAUUACCAGGCAUUCAUUCCAUCCAGACAUAGAUUAGCUCCCCUACACACAAUCCUUUUUAACAUACAUUCAAGUAUAUCAUCAACUCAUACAAACAAUUCUUUUUAACAUAUAAUCACGCAUAUCAUUCCUACAACAGAGCAUGUCCCAUAUACUUCCAGUUUUAGAUUAUUGCAAACUAUCACUACAACCCAAUAACAUCACCAAAACACACAGUAUUUCAGAUAUUAUUAUAUUAAACAAGCCAACAGUUAACACAACAAUUCAGAUAUUAACAAGCCAAUAUUGGUUUAGCUCCCCAUACCUAAAUUUUGAUUCCUCUUCACAAGUAACACAUACUACCACCGAACCCCGUCACUCUCUCAGCCCUCUCUUUCACUCUUAGGUUUCUCAACAUGCUUGAUUGGAUGUCUCUAUUCUUCCUUCUUCCGCCCCUUUUUCAGGUUUCAUUUAAAGCCCCAAUUUGGAUCCUCGAAACACUAAAAUCAUGAUCAGCAUCCUCUGAUUCCAUCUUCCCCUUUUUAAUACUCUUAUUUUGUUUCUCUUUGAAUCAUUGAAUGCUUCCUCAGGCUGUUAUGCUCCUCCUGACCUUAGGAUUUACAAAACCAAAAAGAAAAUAGAAGAAAGAGAAGAGAGAAGUAGUAUCGGAAGAGACGUGAAAGUGCAGAGUGGACGGAAGAUGGAAAACAAGUGAUGAAGGCGCCACGAAAUAAAUUAGGGCAGGCUGGGAAAUAUUAAUACUUACCGAUGGUUUGAUAAAAUAACUGCCGGAAAUAUCUUCAAAAAAUUAAAAAAUAAAAUAUAUUUUAGUUGCCUUUUGACUUGAAACCGCCGAAAAAUUUAAAGAAAAAUAAUAAUAAAAAA